This is a long non-coding RNA of Anolis carolinensis (green anole), 3625 nucleotides long. RefSeq lists it as uncharacterized. NCBI's taxonomy places the organism in Eukaryota, Metazoa, Chordata, Lepidosauria, Squamata, Anolidae. The transcript is spliced from 2 exons. The record is from RefSeq and is a predicted model, not a curated record.
UCACCCACUCUCCCCAGAUUCGAACUGCUGACCUGUCGGUCAGCAGUCCUGUCAGCAUAAGGGUUUAACUCACUGCACCAUCAACUCUAUGAUCCUGUCCAUACAGGAUCAUAGAGUUAUCCAUACAGGAACACUCAAUCAAAGCACUCUCAAGAAAUGGCCAUCCAGCCUCUGCUUUAAAAUCUCCAGGGAUGGAGAUUCCAGCACACUCUGAGGCAAUAAAUCCCACUGAUGAACAGCUCUUACUGUCAAGAAGUUUUUUUUAAUGUUUAGGUGGAAUCUUUUUUCCUGCCAUUUGAAUCCAUUGCUCCAUUGUGUCCUAGUCUCCAGAGCAGCAGAAAACAAGCUUGCCUUUUCCCCAAUGUGACAUCCUUUCAGUCUUUUCUUCUCCAUGUAAACAAACCCAGCUCUCUCAGCUGCCCCUCAUUGGGCUUGGCUUCCAAACCUUUGACCAUUUUGGUUGCUCUUCUCUGGCCCAUCUCGUCAAUAUCCUUCCUUAAUUAUGAUGCCCAGAACUGGACACAGUAUUAUUCCAGGUGAGGCUUGACCAAAGCAGGUGAGAGUGGGACUAUGACUUCCCUGGAUCCUGACACUACACUCCUUUGCCUUUUCUAGAUGCUGCAUCACACUGUUGACUCCAUGUUAUGUCAACCCUGAGACCCCUUUCACAUGAGCUGUUUCUAAGUCAGGAGCCCCCCAUCCUAUAUCUGUGCAUUUCCUUUUUAGGGCCAAAUUGUAACAUUGGAUGUUGAAGAAGGCUUUCAUGGCCAGAAUCACUGGGAUGCUGUGUUUUCCGGGCUGUAUGGCCAUGUUCCAGAAGUAUUCUUUCCUGACAUUUUCCCCGCCUCUAUGGCAGGCAUCCUCAGAGGUUGUGAGGUCUAUUGGAAAUGAGUCAAGUGGAGUUUAUAUAUCUGUGAAAUGUUCAGGGUGGACGAAAGAACUCUUGUCAACUUGAGGCAUGUGUGAAGGAUGAAAGAAAGUUAAAAUCUGGCUUGGGGAGCAAGCCUUGGAGAAGUAGUUGUGCAAUAAGUUUACUUGAAAUCGUGACUCUGGAUUGGCCUUAGACCUUGUUUUUGGAUGCUGUGUCUUAACAUUGAAUUAUAUUUAAAUAUGUUUUAUGUAUGCUUAUGUUAAUCUUAAUGUAAAUUUGUAUCUUUUAUGUUAGGCACUAAGUAGUGCAGUUUGUAAGCCGCUUUGAGUCCCCCCACGGGUUGAGAAAGGCAGAGUAUAAAUAUGGUAAAUAAAUAAAUUAUACAAUUGGCCACCUUGAUUAGCACUGAAUGGCCUUGGAGCUUCAAAGCCUGGCUGCUUGCUGCCUGGGGGAAUCCUUUGUUGGGAGGUAUUAGCUGGCCCUGACUGAUUCAUGCCUGGAAUUCCUAUGUCUUCUGAGUGUUGUUCUUUGUUUACUGUCCCGAUUUUAGAGUUGUUGUUUUUUUUAAUACUGGGAGUCAGAUCGUGUUCAUUUUCAUGGUUUCCUCCUUUCUGUUGAGAUUGUCCACAUGCUUCUCUGCGUAGCCUGGCAUGGUAGUUUUUGGAGUGGUCCAGCAUUUCGGUGUUCUCAAAUGAUAUUCUGUGUCCAGGUUGGUUCAUCAGGUGCUCUGCUCUGGAUGACUUCGUCUGCAGUGCUUUUCAUGUUCCUUGAUGCUGCCCUUUUCUCCUUGUAAGCCCACGAGGGCACCAGAUUGAUUCCAAGCGGAUCCUCCGUGUUCUCCGUGCUCUCCGUUGUCCAGCUCCCGCCGCCCUGCCUAGAGGUGGGCGCUCCUGCGCGACAGCGGGGAGGGGCGCGGGGGCUCCCAGGCGGCGUGGCGCACCCCUCGCGGGGCAUCCGGGCCUCGAGGGCACUGGGUCGCGGCGGAAGCGCCACGGGCCCCGGUCCCUCGUGCUCAGCGCCCGGGAAUGAGCUUCCGGAAGGAAGUCCUUCCAGGCAGGGACCGGCCCGACGGGCUCGACCUCAUUCCUGCCGCCUGCCUCACAUCCUGCGAGAGAGGCCCAGAGAGGGAGGGAAGAGGGCGGCCAAGGGCGGGGCGGGGCCCGCGUGAACCCCGUGAACCCCCCUUUUGCGGGGGAAGGAAGCAAGGAAGGCAAGAAAGAAAGAACGAAAGGGAGAAAGUCCAAAACCCCCGGAGGGUCCGGGGCACAUCACAGAUUGAUACAUUCCUACACAGAAGAUGCACAGCAAACCACCUGUUUUACAUGAACUUUGCAUUAGUACCUGCUCCAUGAACUGUCACUUGAAAGCAUGAAUUGCAACAGCCUGUAGCAAGGAGGCUGGGUCAGAACCUACUCGGUUGAGAAGCCAUCUCUAGCAGGCUCUUCUUUCCAGCAAAGGCCACCCAGCAGCAGCCCUGGCAUCAAUCUUUGGCAGAAAGAGAGGGGAAGUAGACACUUUCCAUCUCUGUUCAACUCAGCUGAGAUAAUAGCAGUGUUUGGUUCAUCUUGAACUGCUUUCCAUUCUAAAUGAUAUCAGAAGAACUUUGUAAUGAAGAAAUUGGGCAUGGGUUCAUGGUUUGUGCCCUGCAAUCCAAAUCCUUUCCCCUUUGUCUCAUGUCGUUCUGUUCUGGAUCUCCUCAUCAUCGCAUUUUCAAAGUAAAAGACAUCAAGAAGGAGUUUACCAGUGUCUUCUGCACACUAACAAUAAGAGCUACUAAGUAUCACUCCAUUUGUCUAUAAAGGGUCUUCCAUCAGUGUUAUCUCCUCCUCCUGCUCCCUAGUAGCUUCCCUUCCAAAGUUUCUCUGUCCCCAUAACAUUUGUCUUCUGGUGAUCCAGUUGUUACUCCUUGAAGUCUUUGGCCUCUUCCACACAGCUGAAUAAAAUCCCACAUUAUCUGUUUGGAACUGGAAUAUAUGGCAAUGUGGAUUCAGAUAACCCAGUUCAAAGCAGAGACUGUGGGAUUUUCUGCCUUGAUAUUCUGGGUUAUAUGGCUGUGUGGAAAGGCCCUUUGACUGGCGUAUCCAGUCAACAUUGAGUACCUUUGGUUACCCUACUAGGAAUCUGGAUUCUUGAUUGGGUCUAGUCACCUGACAAUAUUAUUCUUAGAUUUGCUGACAUACUCAACCAAGCUUACCAUAUUAAGGUAUGCUUCCAAUAAAAAUUUCAAAAAAGCAUCUUAUAACAAAUAACCUAGAGUUUUAGAAAGUUACAUGAAAGCUAUUUUCAAAUCCCUUAGAAGAGACAAAUUAUCAAGACCAUGUAUACCAACAGAGCUGUUUUAACCACAGAGAACAAACUGGGCAUGCUGUCUCCACAACAAAAGAGACACCAGGGACUGCAGGAAUCACUGCAUAACUACAAAUAUCUCCCAUGUGAGCGUAGUAAUGCUCAACAUUUUAUAGCAAAGGCUUUUACCAAGUAUGGAGCAAGAAAUGCCAAAGUUAUUUUCAGAAAAGUAAGAAACAUUAGUGAGUAUAUCGCAAACAGAUACUUGCUAAUGGAGCAAAAUAAAUACUUUCAGAAGAAAUUUGCCUUGUUGUACAAAAAUGAUGCUAAAGUCUUUAACUAUGUAAAUAAUAUAGAACUGUGGAUCACUAAUAAGAAAUGAAAAGGCCACAACAUUUGAUUGACUACAUGUUCUGUAUACUGCACAAAAAUUAUGUAUAAUAACAUUUUUGGAAUGAUGCCCCAUUU